Molecule: long non-coding RNA, 2013 nt
Organism: Alosa alosa (allis shad)
Lineage: Eukaryota; Metazoa; Chordata; Actinopteri; Clupeiformes; Clupeidae
Exons: 2
Source: RefSeq, a predicted model, not a curated record
GCCCCCAUCAGCGAUGUCAAAUUACUGCUCGAUACAGCUAGUCCCAUCCAUUGUAAUAUAACAUUUGUAAUUAACAUAACAGCCCGGAUGUGCAUCCACUCACGUUGUGCAACACUCUCCAUAUCGGCAGUCUUUGGGGUGGCUGGUUGGGGAGCAGGCUGUGACCCCGCGUUAGGGGGUCAGCACUGGGCGGCCGGAUGGUGUCCCCCACCAUGAAGGCAGUGGUGGACGCCGUAUGGGCCGUUUGGAGCAUCAGCGUGUCCAUCUACGACUACAUCCACACCAACGCCAUGGAGGAGCGCAUCCACACGCUGGAGAGUGCCAUCACCGUCCACCAGUGCAUCAUCGGCAUGCUCUCCGCCGGCCUGUUGGCCCUUGUCACCUACGUCCUCCUCAGGAAGCACUGAGGGAUGACGGUCAUCUCAGAGGGACUCUGGAGGCCCAGUACUGGGGGGGAUCGUUUGCAUCAUGAACGGAGGUCCAUCUGAGUUUUCACAUCCAUGGGAUGCAUCUUGUGAGGAGGCCGGGUGACCACUCAGUGCCACGUCCUGACCCCUGUCCAGAUCAGGUAAACUCAGGACCUGGCAUGCAGUGGCGCAUGGAAACAUCACCAACGUGAGCCAAGAAAGAGACCAACGUGAGCCGAGAGAGAGAGCCGAUGACAUGAGAGCAGAUAGCGAGUUUUCUGCCAAGGUGUAAAAAUAUCCCGUGGCGCUUGUUGAAGGAGGGCUGCAGGAGGAUGGCGCUUGGGUCAUCUGUGACCUGCACUGCCCGUCUCCGGAGUAUAGGGUUGCAAAGGGCUGGACGAUUUUUGAUGAAGUCCCGUUUGGCCCAUCGGUACAGAACCUGUACCGACCUACCAAAACGUUCCUAAUUUCAGUAAAAUGAUAAAUUUAUGAUAUGAUGGUCUCCUUGGAUACAAGAGGCUGAUGUAUAAGUAUAAGUAUAUAUACUCUUUUGAUCCCGUGAUGUAACUCCAUGUAUGAGGCACUUACUGUAACCCAGAUCCCACUCUACCAUGCAGGGGAAAACAGCAGAGACCACCAUUAUCUCGUAUUAACCCUUAAAGGAGUACCGUCACACCGGUGUGACGGGAAUGUUGGGAAAUUAACAUUCUAAAGAAUAUCUGGGUUCAUUGAAUUCAACAUAGAAUUUUAGAACCUUCAAUUGUUGCGGAACUUAGAAUGUUCAAAAACCUACACCUUUAAGGGUUAACAGAUAAUGCAAAAGUCAUGAAACAUCAGCGCACGUUGCGAUUUGAACCUUUGUACUAUUCGACAGCGGUCAGAACAUGUUCAUCAACAGUCUCCUGACCGUAUGCAGCACAAGACCAGCAACGGCCAGCGAAAUAUGAGCCAGACCAUCAAUCAGCUUAUGCUGUUGCUAACAAUGCUGCCCUGUGCAGGUCUCAGGACAUCCCCUGAAAAUCUUUUAAAAAUCCCUGGACCUUUGCAUUCCUACUCCAGGCUCUGCCUCAUGUCCAGCAGACAGUGGACAUCACUACUGUACUUGUUUAUUUAUUGUACAACACUGAAAGUAACAGAAAGUGUCCUUACUCGACUAGGUAUCUUAUACUAUUACCAUGGUUCCAGAUAUCUCGGUCAAAAGAUCAAUAUUUUCUCAUUUGACCUGACUAGAGUUUACUUACAAUAUUUAAAUGUCUAUUGUACUAUUUUUGUUGAUAGGACUAAUGUAGUGUAUUUUAAAAUAUAGAAAUGUAACUAAAGUAACAUGGUCAAAUGUCAUUCAUUUAGAAUGUCAAAAAGGGCUUUUCCAUGAGGGAGGCUUUUAAAAGUCUGUUAGUAUAAAGCCAGGGAAGCUCAUUUCCAUCUCAAUAAUUCAGCAGGAGGGUUGAUCAUAUUAAAACACACUCUUCCCUCGUAGACCAACAUGGCUCACGACCAAACAAUGUCAGAGUGGUUUCUCUGAGGAAAUGCAUCAGGAGAAAAUAACGGUAAAGGACUGUAAAUCAGAUAGUUGAGUAGAACUAAGGCCUCUUUUUUAUGUAUAUAC